AAAUAGUACCUGAAACCGUUGGUUUACAAACAGUCAAAGAGUCGUCACGCAAGUGGCCUCGAUGGCGUGCCUUUUGAAGAAUGAGCCUGCGAGUGACGGUAUGUGGCAAGGUUAACCAGUGAUGGGGAGCCGAAGCGAAAGCGAGUCUGAAUAGGGCGUUGAGUCGCAUGCUGUCGACCCGAAGCCAAGUGAUCUAUCCAUGGCCAGGUUGAAGCGGGGGUAAGACCCCGUGGAGGACCGAACACACGUCAGUUGAAAAUGGCGGUGAUGAGCUGUGGAUAGGGGUGAAAGGCCAAACAAACUUGGUGAUAGCUGGUUCUCCUCGAAAUGUAUUUAGGUACAGCGUCGUGCGUUCAGUCUCGGAGGUAGAGCACUGGAUGGGCUAGGGGGCCUACAAGCUUACCGAACCCAGCCAAACUCCGAAUGCCGAGACUCCAGAGCACGGCAGUGAGACUACGGGGGAUGAGCUUCGUUAGUCGAAAGGGAAACAGCCCAGACCAUCAGCUAAGGCCCCUAAUUCAGGAC
This 525-nucleotide ribosomal RNA is filed under the name uncultured bacterium. RNAcentral describes it as "bacterial LSU rRNA". It matches the Rfam family "Bacterial large subunit ribosomal RNA", at positions 541 to 1059 of the family's 2925-position model. The record is from RNAcentral.